UAGGGAAUCUUCGGCAAUGGACGAAAGUCUGACCGAGCAACGCCGCGUGAGUGAAGAAGGUUUUCGGAUCGUAAAACUCUGUUGUUAGAGAAGAACAAGGACGUUAGUAACUGAACGUCCCCUGACGGUAUCUAACCAGAAAGCCACGGCUAACUACGUGCCAGCAGCCGCGGUAAUACGUAGGUGGCAAGCGUUGUCCGGAUUUAUUGGGCGUAAAGCGAGCGCAGGCGGUUUCUUAAGUCUGAUGUGAAAGCCCCCGGCUCAACCGGGGAGGGUCCUUGGAACCUGGGAGACUUGAGUGCAGAAGAGGAGAGUGGAAUUCCAUGUGUAGCGGUGAAAUGCGUAGAUAUAUGGAGGAACACCAGUGGCGAAGGCGGCUCUCUGGUCUGUAACUGACGCUGAGGCUCGAAAGCGUGGGGAGCAAACAGG
Molecule: ribosomal RNA, 429 nt
Filed under: Gemmatimonadota bacterium
Lineage: Bacteria; Pseudomonadati; Gemmatimonadota
Description: Gemmatimonadetes bacterium partial 16S ribosomal RNA
Rfam family: Bacterial small subunit ribosomal RNA
Source: RNAcentral